Molecule: ribosomal RNA, 235 nt
Filed under: uncultured Glomus
Lineage: Eukaryota; Fungi; Glomeromycota; Glomeromycetes; Glomerales; Glomeraceae
Description: partial 18S ribosomal RNA
Rfam family: Eukaryotic small subunit ribosomal RNA
Source: RNAcentral
UUGGAGGGCAAGUCUGGUGCCAGCAGCCGCGGUAAUUCCAGCUCCAAUAGCGUAUAUUAAAGUUGUUGCAGUUAAAAAGCUCGUAGUUGAAUUUCGGAAUCAGUGCGCUGGUCGUGCCUCUGGUAUGCACUGGUGUUACUGAUUUCUCCCUUCUGAAGAACUAUCAUGCCAUUAAUUUGGUGUGGUAGGGAAUCAGGACUGUUACUUUGAAAAAAUUAGAGUGUUUAAAGCAGGC